AGAGGAGAAAACGCACCCCAAAGGCUGGCAAAUUUUUCAUUUUCCGCUGCGCAUUUUUCCGGCCUUGGAUGCAAAUAUCUUUGCCAAACCUGCGCAUCGGCAGAUAGUAUGAAGUUGAUAUAAGUAGCCAAAGUUUCCUCCGGCUUCUCGUACAAUUUGUCAAAAUAUUUCAGAUAAACGAGUUAAAAAAUGGGCGACUUUUAUCCGGCCAAACUCCAAUUGUAGUCAAUUAUGGAAAUCUGCCCAAACAUCGGCAAUUUUCCAACUUUAGGUCAAAGGAUUUUGCAAAAUUCUGACCUUCGCGCAUCCCACGAAUUUUAUUGAACCGAUUUCACCUACGCAAUUCCAAAAUUUUAACAAAAUCGUAGAGUUACACUUCAAACCUUCGCAUUGUAAGCGAUUUGACAGGUACAUAAGUACAGGAAGAUAAGUGGAUUACCCUAUUUGGACGAUAUCACAAAUCCUUAUGUCCAUUAGUGAUAAGGUCUCGACACAACUCGUCUCACUUCUCAGUUCGAGUUACUGCCUUGUUUCGAGACAUUCGACAUACUUAUUUCUCUCAUUUUUUGCGUCACAAUGCCGACUUGUAUUUUGAAUUUAAUCAAACUUGGGGAGGAUACGUUGCGAGACAUUGAUUGUUAGUACAGAACUCAGAGUGUUCAAUAACAUUAAUCGGUCAACCAACCGAUUAUCACUGGAACAUGCAAAUAUAUGGAUUAGUUGAAGAAACAAGUGCACUUUUUGUUACGUCACACCCAGAAUUCGGAAAUAUACAUAACCAAGAUCCUGCCUUGAAUUAUCUUAGUGUCACUUAUCAGCCUAAAUCCAAUGUCUAUCCACGUCAAGAGAUGAUUUGGGUGCCUAGGACAAUGCCCAAAGGAGUGACGGAUAACAUUGCAAUUCAGCCUGCAGCUGGUCCGGAUUCCUCGCAUAGAGUGCUUCACCCCGAUAAUAUUUUGGGGGCAAUCGCCAUGUACCUCAAUUCUUUGGAAAGGUUAAAUUUUAAAAUAAUCGGGAUUAAUGAGGUUGCCGAUAAAAAGAGAAGCGUACGAGUUUUGACUUACACCUUACAAUCAAGGGAAUAAAAAGGUACAUAAAUUUGCGAUACAUGAUAAAGUAGUACAUAAACUGGGCCUAAACUGUGCACAUUCGCGUAGAAACGCAUACCAAAAUACACAAAUUAACUUAUGAUCUUGGGAAUCUAAUAAAAAGCUUAAACUGGGUCGAUUUGAAGCAAAAUGACAACCUGGCCUCUGUUUCAUUCGCCAUCAGUGACAGACAAGCUGUUGCAAUAAUAGCGACCCACUAUUAUCUAUUGUCUGGUGAGCAUUCAAAUAAUUGAGCCCAGUCUUUCUCUACACUUGGAAAACCAGUGAAAAUCUCAUUUUGCCCCGACCACACCCCCUGCCGCCGGUAGGGGUGGUCCGCUUGACCCCAAAAGUUGAUAGGAUCCGCCCCCUGGGGUCAUAUGCACGAUGGCGAAAACCGAUUUCGAUUAUCUCGAUCCGGUCUCCCGUUAUCCUGCUGACAGACAGACAGACAGACGGACAGACAGACAGACAGACGGACAAAGUCUUCGCAUAAAGUAGCUGAAGCUACUUAAUAAACGAAUCACAUACGAAGUAUCCAUUUGAAUAUGGUUUUAUAAUAUUUGUCCCAUUAAAUAUAAAUGAUCCUGCCUGACACGAAUUCUAAACAAAAGAGACGUUUCGUUAACAUUAAACAUACUUUUUCAAAGUUCAGUAAACCGUACUGUUAGACAAGUUAAAUUCACAAUUUACUGUUUACUAAGAAAAACUUAAAGGUGAGCUGCCUACUGAAAUCACAAACCUAAAUUACAAGGUGUGAGUAUUUUUCACUGCACGAAAUCUGCCUGUUUUAUUAUACUCCAGUGAAUACUUACCAUUGUGCAUUAUACAUAAGCUGACCCGUUUUUCUACCAUCGUCUCAGUCCGCUUCCCGUGUUAAUCAACUGGGAAUAUUAUUCGCGCGAGGCAAACAUGGGGGCUUUAAAUAAAAAACGCACAAUAUCUAGUUGGUACAAAUUCAUAUUUCCACCCCCCUCGACAUAUGUAUAUUUAUAUCGCCCCAUAACGAACAUGACAUUUAGAAAAUAAUUUUACACGGCAAUUUUAUAGGUCACCCUAAAAUAUUUAGAUUAUUGUCCACGCAUAUUAAUAUAAAAGUGUCAAUCAUUUCAAUCUCAGCUAUGUAUUUAAUAACUAAUUUUCGAUCAACGUCAAAUUUCGCAUUCACCAAAUUUGCAAUACACACAAAAUUCACCCACAGUUCUACUUCAUUUCGUUUUCAACCCACAAAAAAUUAUGAUAAAUACCUCCCCCAAAAGUUACCCCCACUCUACCCAAACUUCUUGACACUCGCCAUUCUCCCGGCCUCCUUCCCCCUCUCGACCACGUGGUAAUCCACUUUGGGAAAAAUGGUGGAAAUUUUACCACACAAAUCUGUAAUCCCCUCCUUCCACCGGUACCAAUCCAACCACCGUUUCUUCAUCUUCAUCCCCCCCACAUCCGAAUCCUCCGGGGGAAUCGAAAUAUUCAAGUUUGUAACCGUCACACACGGUGCGACACCUUCGGCUAAAAAAGUCUCAUACAUGAAGAGCAUGGUAGCCUUAAAGUGCAAAUUGAAACUACCCGGUUUCACCCGUUCCGGCACCAGGCGCACCCUUAACUUCUCCAAGACAGGGAACUGCUCCCUGUACACGAGUUUAAUCUUAUCCCGCCCCGUUUCAAAUUUUAAGUAGAGAUUACUUCGAGACCAAUACCGUUCUAGAUCAGGUCGGAAACUUCGUUGUCUCAAAAUUUCGAAACCUUUUAACCUCGGGAGAACCGGAAUGGUGAUGCUAACUCUGGCCCCAAGAGAUGGGGAAGUUUCUUUCACCCCGGAAAUGCACACGUGUUCCAACCGUGGUGCGAGAAGGUGCAACAGGUCGCCUAAAUAGGUUGAUUCUUCAGCGUUAAACUGGAAUCGGGUCACGUUACCCAAAAAUGAAGGGAGCGGGGCCUUAAAGUUAAGAAUAUCAAGGAACGUUCUUGGGACAUAGAUUGACUUGAGGUAGAGCAAAGUGAGACCGCUUUCUAUCAGGAUCAGGCUAAUAGGUAUGUCCUUAAACUGGACCUGCUGCACGUGCCUGAACACCGUUAGAAACCGGGUGGUUAGCGAGACCAUGUUUUCCAAUCGGCCGGGCCUCAGACCGAGAUGAGGUUGGGAUACGUUGAGGGAUAAAUUGGUCAGUUUUUCGGGGAUCUGGGCGUCGUCGGGCAGUAGAUCAGCCCAAUUUUGAUUCGAGGAAAAUAAUUCCUUUCGAUUUCUCAAGCCGAAUUGAAAUUCGAGAGAUGUCAAAUUUUUGAAAGAUUCGCAAGUCUUGACCAUGCGAAAAGCCACGUGGCGGAAGGCGUUAUCGAGGGAUAUAUUGAGACAUAAUUUUUUCACAGUGGGGAAACCAAUGGCAGUAAAUAGGUCUAUUUUUGACAAUAAAUUCCCCCUAUAUGGACACACGAUUACGUUGAGGUGUUUAGGGGACAGGUUCUUAAGGGGGUCAAGGUCUCUGUAAUCGGUGACGUGGCAGAGGUGGACAUUAACCGGAUUUCGCAUCAGGAGAUGUCUUAGAGCUUCCUCCUCACACGCAGAGUUGACGAGAGAGAUCGUCUCCAAGUCAGGAGUGGGCAGAAAUUCCAUAAUUUUGUGUAUUAUCUGCAAUUUUAAUAAUAAUCCGGUAAAAUCAGGUAGGUAAUGAUUUCUCGGUA
This is an RNA transcript of Folsomia candida, 3764 nucleotides long. RefSeq lists it as uncharacterized. The record is from RefSeq and is a predicted model, not a curated record. Lineage: Eukaryota; Metazoa; Arthropoda; Collembola; Entomobryomorpha; Isotomidae. The transcript is spliced from 5 exons.